CGAACGAUGAACCGCCUUCGGGCGGGGAUUAGUGGCGAACGGGUGAGUAACACGUGGGCAAUCUGCCCUGCACUCUGGGACAAGCCCUGGAAACGGGGUCUAAUACCGGAUACAACCGCUUCGGGCAUCCGAGGGCGGUGGAAAGCUCCGGCGGUGCAGGAUGAGCCCGCGGCCUAUCAGCUUGUUGGUGAGGUAACGGCUCACCAAGGCGACGACGGGUAGCCGGCCUGAGAGGGCGACCGGCCACACUGGGACUGAGACACGGCCCAGACUCCUACGGGAGGCAGCAGUGGGGAAUAUUGCACAAUGGGCGCAAGCCUGAUGCAGCGACGCCGCGUGAGGGAUGACGGCCUUCGGGUUGUAAACCUCUUUCAGCAGGGAAGAAGCGCAAGUGACGGUACCUGCAGAAGAAGCGCCGGCUAACUACGUGCCAGCAGCCGCGGUAAUACGUAGGGCGCGAGCGUUGUCCGGAAUUAUUGGGCGUAAAGAGCUCGUAGGCGGCUUGUCGCGUCGGUUGUGAAAGCCCGGGGCUUAACCCCGGGUCUGCAGUCGAUACGGGCAGGCUAGAGUUCGGUAGGGGAGAUCGGAAUUCCUGGUGUAGCGGUGAAAUGCGCAGAUAUCAGGAGGAACACCGGUGGCGAAGGCGGAUCUCUGGGCCGAUACUGACGCUGAGGAGCGAAAGCGUGGGGAGCGAACAGGAUUAGAUACCCUGGUAGUCCACGCCGUAAACGGUGGGCACUAGGUGUGGGCGACAUUCCACGUCGUCCGUGCCGCAGCUAACGCAUUAAGUGCCCCGCCUGGGGAGUAC
This 808-nucleotide ribosomal RNA is filed under the name Streptomyces sp. RNAcentral describes it as "bacterial SSU rRNA". It matches the Rfam family "Bacterial small subunit ribosomal RNA", at positions 63 to 883 of the family's 1533-position model. The record is from RNAcentral. Lineage: Bacteria; Bacillati; Actinomycetota; Actinomycetes; Kitasatosporales; Streptomycetaceae.